UACGAAGGUCCCAAGCGUUGUUCGGAAUCAUUGGGCGUAAAGAGCGUGUAGGCGGCCAAUUAAGUCUGAUGUGAAAGCCCGGGGCUUAACCCCGGAAGUGCAUUGGAUACUGAUUGGCUAGAGGACGAGAGGGGAAGGCGGAAUUCCUGGUGUAGGGGUGAAAUCCGUAGAUAUCAGGAGGAACACCGGAGGCGAAGGCGGCUUUCUGGCUCGUAACUGACGCUGAGACGCGAAAGCGUGGGGAGCAAACAGG
RNAcentral lists this ribosomal RNA (253 nucleotides) under uncultured bacterium. RNAcentral describes it as "partial 16S ribosomal RNA". It matches the Rfam family "Bacterial small subunit ribosomal RNA", at positions 524 to 776 of the family's 1533-position model. The record is from RNAcentral.